UGGCAAUACAAUGUUGAAACACUAGUUCCCACAUGAUCAUUGAACUUAAGCAACAUAGAACCUAGUCAGUACCUAGAUGGGUGACCAUUUAGGAAUACCAGGUGCUGUAAG
Acanthosepion pharaonis is the source of this 111-nucleotide non-coding RNA. The record is from the annotation of a GenBank genome assembly. Lineage: Eukaryota; Metazoa; Mollusca; Cephalopoda; Sepiida; Sepiidae.